GUCGAGGGGCAGCAUUUCAGUUUGCUUGCAAACUGGAGAUGGCGACCGGCGCACGGGUGAGUAACACGUAUCCAACCUGCCGAUAACUCGGGGAUAGCCUUUCGAAAGAAAGAUUAAUACCCGAUGGUAUAAUUAGACCGCAUGGUCUUGUUAUUAAAGAAUUUCGGUUAUCGAUGGGGAUGCGUUCCAUUAGGCAGUUGGUGAGGUAACGGCUCACCAAACCUUCGAUGGAUAGGGGUUCUGAGAGGAAGGUCCCCCACAUUGGAACUGAGACACGGUCCAAACUCCUACGGGAGGCAGCAGUGAGGAAUAUUGGUCAAUGGGCGCAGGCCUGAACCAGCCAAGUAGCGUGAAGGAUGACUGCCCUAUGGGUUGUAAACUUCUUUUAUAUGGGAAUAAAGUUUUCCACGUGUGGAAUUUUGUAUGUACCAUAUGAAUAAGGAUCGGCUAACUCCGUGCCAGCAGCCGCGGUAAUACGGAGGAUCCGAGCGUUAUCCGGAUUUAUUGGGUUUAAAGGGAGCGUAGGUGGACAGUUAAGUCAGUUGUGAAAGUUUGCGGCUCAACCGUAAAAUUGCAGUUGAUACUGGCUGUCUUGAGUACAGUAGAGGUGGGCGGAAUUCGUGGUGUAGCGGUGAAAUGCUUAGAUAUCACGAAGAACUCCGAUUGCGAAGGCAGCUCACUGGACUGCAACUGACACUGAUGCUCGAAAGUGUGGGUAUCAA
RNAcentral lists this ribosomal RNA (722 nucleotides) under uncultured bacterium. RNAcentral describes it as "bacterial SSU rRNA". It matches the Rfam family "Bacterial small subunit ribosomal RNA", at positions 61 to 771 of the family's 1533-position model. The record is from RNAcentral.